AACGAACGCUGGCGGCAUGCCUAACACAUGCAAGUCGAACGAGACCUUCGGGUCUAGUGGCGCACGGGUGCGUAACGCGUGGGAACCUGCCCUUAGGUUCGGAAUAACUCCCCUAAAGGGGUGCUAAUACCGGAUAAUGUCUUCGGACCAAAGAUUUAUCGCCUUUGGAUGGGCCCGCGUUGGAUUAGCUAGUUGGUAGGGUAAAAGCCUACCAAGGCGACGAUCCAUAGCUGGUCUGAGAGGAUGAUCAGCCACACUGGGACUGAGACACGGCCCAGACUCCUACGGGAGGCAGCAGUGGGGAAUAUUGGACAAUGGGCGAAAGCCUGAUCCAGCAAUGCCGCGGGAGUUAUGAAGGGCUUAGGGUUGUAAAGCUCUUUUACCCGGGAUGAUAAUGACAGUACCGGGAGAAUAAGCUCCGGCUAACUCCGUG
This 433-nucleotide ribosomal RNA is filed under the name uncultured bacterium. RNAcentral's name for it is "partial 16S ribosomal RNA". It matches the Rfam family "Bacterial small subunit ribosomal RNA", at positions 29 to 507 of the family's 1533-position model. The record is from RNAcentral.